ACGCUGGCACACACUCAAAUUUGCUGCCAGCACCCCACCCACACAGACAUGCACACACUUUUCGAACACUAGACGCGCUCUCUCACGCAGUGCGCCGCUGUCGCUGUUUUGGUCCUCUAGGCCUUGCUUUACUGUGCCACGCGACGAAGAGGGCGGAAAUAUAAAGCGCACACAACAUAUCGAUUCUCGGGUCUGCCAGAAGAAAAGACUGCGAACCUGUUUGAUGCCCCUCAUUGGCGACUGCAUGCGCCAGCUGGCGGAGCAGCUGAGGGGCUGCGAUGGUGUCGUCGCUGUGGAUCCAUUGGCGUGCGCCUCAUUCCAUGAGGAGACUGCGGCGCGCAUCGCACUAGAGGCUCUCUCGUUGCUCCUCUUGGAUAGGCCCAGUGAGCGGCGCACGGACGGCAUGUGUGCACAUCGUCGAACGUGGUGUGGCAUUGGCGUUUUGCGUGGCCGGGAGAGUGACGUGGCCUACAACUCUGGAGAGGGCGCCAGCGUGCUAUGGAACGUUGUCCCUGUCGCCCUCACCGUGGUGCCGUGGCAGGUGGAGCUUCCACGGCGGCUGCAGGAUCUCGUGCUUUGCCAAGGCCACUUUGCAUCCAUCGACCAGCUUGAUUACGGAAGCAGCGAUGUCGGCCCCGUCCCGGACACCUUCCUGACGCGCGAGGCGGUGGCCUUGCUUUGUGGGCUGCCACGCUGCCGCGUGCAAGCGGUCUCCGGCCGCUUCCCUCUCUUUGGUCGAGUCGUACCUCCCUCUUUUUCGGCGGCGCCUCGAGGUGUCACGGCAACGGAUGCGACCUGGUCGUUGGUGCCUUCACGAGAGGUCUCUCCUGCUCGAUCCGCAGCGGCUGCACAGCGGCACGCACGCCGGCUGAUGCCCUUCCUGGUGAGCGGCUUGUCAUCUCUGAUGGAGCCGUUUUCUCUGCGGAACGAUAGGUCUGUGCCGGAGUGCUGGGCCGUGGUUUCUUACCCAGAUGGACUGCCGCGUGCAGAGGCAGCGCGUGAGGAGGUCGACGGUGUCUCUCGUGACAUCAGUGACACUGCCGGAGCCGUCUCCUCACACGAAGCCAAUGUGCACGAGUCUGAUGGCUCCUGCGAGGCGGCACCGUUUUUCAUUCUGCCGUCCCACCUGCUGUGCCGCUCGCUGCGCGUCGCGGUUGGCUGGCAGAAGAUUUCGCCCUCCUCACGACCAUUAGUGUCGGAGGUGCUUCAGCGUCUCUGCUGCCUUGUGGAUCGUAUUGCACUCCGCACAGACCGAGGCGUCACACUCACAUCCCGGACAGCCUGUAGUACCGGUCAGGAGACGCUUUCUGCCACCAUGACGAUUCAAAAGGCGUCCAGCAUGUGAGCUUCGACACCAUGGCAGCCCCUCCACGGCGUUCUUCCGAGUUCUCGCGCACGCGUUCGUUUUCUGUGUAUUCCCUUUCGAUAUCCCACCUUUGAUGUCUUUUGUCCCUUUGAUGGCGCGUGCUGUGCCGCACAUCACCCGCGCCCCGUCAACGGGCUAGUCUCCUGCUACAUGUCCUUGCCACCCAGAACGAAAAACAAAGAGGAAUGCGCACCAGGGGCGCGAAGGGAGCGCCAUCUUCUCUGCAGCAACGCGCCGAUGUAGCGUGUGCCUCUCUCGCUUUCUCUGCAGUUGGAGUGGCGUCUGUUCAUGUGCCAGACACAUCGGAUAGCGCAGGUGGUGGUGAUGGACAGAGGUUGAGGAGGUUCAUGCGGGUCACGUGCCCUUUCACGUUCUUGACUCCUCUCCACUGUGCCUUGUGUGCACAUCCCAUUUGAUGCUUGCUUGCUGCUCCUCGCUUCCACGGCUUUGUUUCGGUGUGGUGGCACACCAGAGUCCUUCCCCCGGGGCGACGCGCUUCUUCACUGUCCAUAUACUGCCUCACCUGCGUCUUCUCUUGCACUUCUCUCCCUCUCAUCCAUCUCGUUGCGCGACUGUUGCUCUGGGCGACACCGCCUCCUCUCCAUCUCGUGACACGCACACAAG
This 1990-nucleotide unclassified non-coding RNA is filed under the name Leishmania donovani. Its description in RNAcentral is "gene:LdHU3.19.1950(CDS-product:hypothetical_prote in_conserved)". The record is from RNAcentral. Lineage: Eukaryota; Euglenozoa; Kinetoplastea; Trypanosomatida; Trypanosomatidae.